AUUGAACGCUGGCGGCAUGCCUUACACAUGCAAGUCGAGCGGCAGCGCGGGGCAACCCUGGCGGCGAGCGGCGGACGGGUGAGUAAUACAUCGGAACGUGUCCUUUCGUGGGGGAGUAACCAGUCGAAAGACUGGCUAAUACCGCAUGAGAUCUCACGAUGAAAGCGGGGGACCGCAAGGCCUCGCGCGAUUGGAGCGGCCCGAUGUCGGAUUAGCUAGUUGGCGGGGUAAAAGCCCACCAAGGCAACGAUCCGUAGCU
RNAcentral lists this ribosomal RNA (259 nucleotides) under uncultured bacterium. RNAcentral's name for it is "partial 16S ribosomal RNA". It matches the Rfam family "Bacterial small subunit ribosomal RNA", at positions 30 to 288 of the family's 1533-position model. The record is from RNAcentral.